This 22-nucleotide microRNA is filed under the name Rattus norvegicus (Norway rat). RNAcentral's name for it is "rno-miR-344i". Its record names the gene rno-miR-344i. The record is from miRBase by way of RNAcentral. Lineage: Eukaryota; Metazoa; Chordata; Mammalia; Rodentia; Muridae.
CUCUAGCCAGGGCUUGACUGCA